This 514-nucleotide ribosomal RNA is filed under the name uncultured Gammaproteobacteria bacterium. RNAcentral describes it as "bacterial SSU rRNA". It matches the Rfam family "Bacterial small subunit ribosomal RNA", at positions 534 to 1050 of the family's 1533-position model. The record is from RNAcentral. Lineage: Bacteria; Pseudomonadati; Pseudomonadota; Gammaproteobacteria.
GCGAGCGUUAAUCGGAAUUACUGGGCGUAAAGCGCGCGUAGGCGGUUUGUUAAGUCGGAUGUGAAAGCCCCGGGCUCAACCUGGGAACUGCACCCGAUACUGGCCGACUUGAGUGCGAGAGAGGGAGGUAGAAUUCCAUGUGUAGCGGUGAAAUGCGUAGAUAUAUGGAGGAAUACCGGUGGCGAAGGCGGCCUCCUGGCUCGACGCUGACGCUGAGGUGCGAAAGCGUGGGUAGCAAACAGGAUUAGAUACCCUGGUAGUCCACGCCGUAAACGAUGUCUACUAGCCGUUGGGGAACUUGAUUCUUUAGUGGCGCAGCUAACGCAAUAAGUAGACCGCCUGGGGAGUACGGCCGCAAGGUUAAAACUCAAAUGAAUUGACGGGGGCCCGCACAAGCGGUGGAGCAUGUGGUUUAAUUCGAAGCAACGCGCAGAACCUUACCAGGGCUUAAAUGUAAGUUGCAUAGAUCAGAGAUGGUCUUUUCUUCGGACUACUUACAAGGUGCUGCAUGGCU